UGGGGAAUUUUGGACAAUGGGCGAAAGCCUGAUCCAGCAAUGCCGCGUGUGUGAAGAAGGCCUUCGGGUUGUAAAGCACUUUUGUCCGGAAAGAAAUCCUUGGCUCUAAUACAGUCGGGGGAUGACGGUACCGGAAGAAUAAGCACCGGCUAACUACGUGCCAGCAGCCGCGGUAAUACGUAGGGUGCAAGCGUUAAUCGGAAUUACUGGGCGUAAAGCGUGCGCAGGCGGUUUGCUAAGACCGAUGUGAAAUCCCCGGGCUCAACCUGGGAACUGCAUUGGUGACUGGCAGGCUAGAGUAUGGCAGAGGGGGGUAGAAUUCCACGUGUAGCAGUGAAAUGCGUAGAGAUGUGGAGGAAUACCGAUGGCGAAGGCAGCCCCCUGGGCCAAUACUGACGCUCAUGCACGAAAGCGUGGGGAGCAAACAGGAUUAGAUACCCUGGUAGUCCACGCCCUAAACGAUGUCAACUAGUUGUUGGGGAUUCAUUUCCUUAGUAACGUAGCUAACGCGUGAAGUUGACCGCCUGGGGAGUACGGUCGCAAGAUUAAAACUUAAAUG
RNAcentral lists this ribosomal RNA (559 nucleotides) under uncultured bacterium. RNAcentral describes it as "partial 16S ribosomal RNA". It matches the Rfam family "Bacterial small subunit ribosomal RNA", at positions 355 to 907 of the family's 1533-position model. The record is from RNAcentral.